Molecule: long non-coding RNA, 3590 nt
Organism: Diospyros lotus (date-plum)
Lineage: Eukaryota; Viridiplantae; Streptophyta; Magnoliopsida; Ericales; Ebenaceae
Exons: 2
Source: RefSeq, a predicted model, not a curated record
CUCUCUCUCUCUCUCUCUCUCUCCAACUGUUCAUUGAAUGCCCAAAGCAAAUAUCAUUCCCUUCUCUUCAGUUUAGUUCAGAGAACUCCAUGAAAGCGAAGCCCCUGGAACUGGGAUCUUCUUUCUUCCUCUCUUUAAUGCUUCACUUCCAUCUGUUAAAAAAUAGAAACCCAAAAGCUUUGCAUUUCUCAUACAUAUAUGUAUAAUUCUAUGCAGAUAUUGGCAUAUAUAUUUCGUAUUAUACACACACACGCGCGCACACAUAUAUAUAGCAUGCUUCUCGCUUUCUCUAUGUGUGUGUGUUGAUCUUCUUGCUCUUUGAAGUGCUAUCUGGAGAUUGAUUCGCUGAGAUCUUUGAGGUCGCUUUCCUAUCUCUGACUUUCAUGAAGACAGUGACGAGUCGUCUCCCCCUUAACCCAUAAAUACGCCCUUCCUCUUCUCGUAUUCUCUGCGACUUUUUGUUAUCUUCUUUUACUAAACCAUAAUAUCUUCUUCACCUUCUUUCUAAUUCCUUUCUUCUUCUUCCUGGGUUUUUUUUAUACACACACACACACACACACAUAUAUUUCCUUCUUUUUCCCUUCUUGUUGCUGUGAAAUGAAUUGACAUCGGAAAUUAUAUGCACGAAAACAUUUCCAGAUUUAGGGUUUGGAUUAUUACUCCAGGCACCAGUUAAGUUUUCUUUUUUCUUUUUCUUUCUUUUUUUUCUCUUUUCUGUAUUAUGUUGGCAAUAGGGAUUUCCUUUAUUUUCACUGUACCUCCAAUGGAUAGAUCAUGUCCCCUACUGCUGCUUUAUGGUUUUCUUUUUCUUUUUCUUUUCUGCAUAAUGUCGAUGUUUGCUUAUGAUAUGAUCUGUUCGUCACUGGAUGUUCUAGUUUCAAACAGUGUAAGGUGAAGUGGCAAAAGGGCAAUUUGCCUCGGCAUUUUCAAUCUUUUAUAUAGGGUCAGGGUUUGUGGAAGGUUCAUUUUGCUUAACUUUCUUUUUAUUCUUGAAUUGCCCAGUUGUUCUUGAGUUUUAGGUGUUUAUACCGGUAAUUGGUUGUCGGCAUACUUGAAACGCUUCACGUAUUGUGUUGAUGAAAUUCAUCCGUGCUAGUUUGGAUAAGAAAGGAAAGAUCGCCAAGAAAUUGACCGAAUAUUUGGGCAUUUCUGAGCCAUCUACAGACUAGGGUUCGGUUCUAGUUGCCUUGAUGAGUUUAAAGUUUUUCCUUCUCGGUGGAUUGAUUCUGAGAGUAUCAUAUUGUUUCAUUUCAUUUUUUCUUUCUUGUGUUGGAUCAUAUGAUUUUCCAGGGAAAAGGUUUUGAUCUGAAAGUAUUGUUUUUUCAUCUCCGUCAAACUGGAAUUGGGGCUAGCCAUAAGGUUGAAGCCCCAGUGAAUGUUUCUCUUUUACCAAUUUUUCCAGCUUACUACCUUAAAAAAUUCAAGCAUAAAACAUUAAUGCUUAUCGAAUUAUUAUGAUCACUUAAACAAUAAAGUGCGUGUUAAUUGAUCUAUUUGUAUUCUUAUUAUUUUUCUCAUUUAAUUUGUUUGGAUGAAAUUUGUUUUUUCCAUUAGGUAAAACAAGCAUAUGCUUGUGAUUAAUUUGUUGAAGCGAUUUUUUGGACAUUUCAUAAUGAUGUUGAAUUGAUUUUUUACCCAACUAAAUGAAUCGAGUAUUGCUUGAUAUUAUUCAUAUUGAAGUUGCAGGACAAACUACUCUUUCUGUUUCAUUUUCUAUUGUAGAAAGUCUCCAAUGGUUAACAUCUGAUAAAUUGUGUAAUUAGUGCUGCUUUUCAAACAGAAAUCUGUGGGUAAACUGUUAAUUUGUUUAUGGUUGCCUCUUAGAAAGCUAGCAAUCACUUUGUAUUGUAGUGAGUAAAUCGUAUAUUUUUUAUUUGGAAGAUCAAGCGAGAAGGAAAGAUUUUCAUUGUCUUUCAUUGAUGUGUGGAAUAGUGAGGGGAGUAAUUAAAUUCAUGAACUAUGUUGAGAAUGGUGUGAGGGAGCUUCCUUCAGCCCAUCCAUGGAUGAGACAAGGGGUCUGAAUUAGCUGCCGACUCAUUCAUUCAACCACUCAGUAGAAAGGAAACCGUGCUGGCUGGCUACUGUGAUUGUGUGAAUGAUGCGGGAGAUAAUUUCCAUUCUUCUCCCUCCGUGCUUGGACUGAAGGGAGCUCCCUCUUUCAAUCGACACUUCUUGCAAGAUCAUUCUUGUGAAUCUUUUGUCCCAAGAACUCUUCCUCGACCAGUUUACUAACUUUAUCUGUAUAAACUUUACGACAUUGUCAUUAAUUACUUGAAUCUUAUCUUCUAUACCUAAAACUUCAUAACAUUACAUUUCUCCUUCUUAAAAUUAAUUUCAGGCUCAUGACAUUGCGCAACCAUCGAGCCAUGCGCUGUUGGGAAAUGGCCCGUUUUGUAUGUGGCUUUUUUUCCUAACUUUGCUUGCUAAUACAUCUGCAUUUGGUGUCCUUAUAUUGAAGUUCCAAAAUUGUUGUGUUAACUAUGAUCCAGGUACUACUUCUUUCUCUGAAUUUCCUUUUAUUGCCUAUUUUUACCCUUUCUGGUGCCAUCCUAAUUUCAAUAGCUCUCUUUCCCAUGUUUCUGGGUGUAUUGUAUGUGAUUAUUGUCCUCUAAAUGCUUGGUGAAUAGGUAUUGUGACUGGAAUACAUCCUUCAACCUUAUCUCUUACAAUGAACUUGUCCUGCUGAAUACUUUCCCUCGUUCACCAUCUUUUCUUCUUCACGUCUAAAUCAGAUAGCCAGAUUUAUUCAUCUAUAGAGGCCUGAAUUUGUUCAUUACUGAAACCUCGUUAUGGCCUUUCUUCUUCUUUCUCUUCCUUCCUGUUUUCCCUAGAUACCCAACAAAGAACAUUAAGUUCUUCAUUUGUUUAGUGUACAUACAUCUUUACUCAAUUAAUUUGCGCAUGACCUAUACAUGCCAAAUGUGGUUUCUUUCCUCUGUAUGCUUGAAAAUCCCUUUUGAAUCUUCUUGUCCGAGUGUUGAAACUUGGAGAGCUAAAUGUUGCGUACUGCUUAUCAAUAAUUUGUUCCUUUCAUUCUCGAUGAGCAUUGUUCUUAAAUCCCUAACAGGUGCAGGUUCCCUUCUGUAUUCUGCAAACUUGGAGCAAAACUGAUAUAGAUUCACACAAUUUCUAGCUCCCAAAAGUGGCAAGUUGAAAAAGUAAGGCAGUGUUUGUUUAAUCAGAAAGUGGAGGGGUGUGUUCAUGGAAUUGUGAGAUUUUGCCAAAUAGGGAUGGGGGGACCUCUGCACUGGAGCUGCUGUUUGUGGCAAUGAGCUUGGGUUUCAAUUUUUUUAGGGUAUUUUAAGUGCAGGUUUGUACCUGGAAUCUUUCUCAUCGAUAAUGUCAAUGGGAUUCUCUUUUCCUGUGGUCCCAUAUUUUCUUUCUGGCGUGUGGCAGAUGGGAAAACUAUGCCAAGUUUUCCUUCCUUCUAGCUCUUUUGUCUUUGUCAAGCCGAAUCUUUUCCUAUAUUGUACUAGGACUUAUUGCAGCUUCCCUGGCGAUAAGAAUGUGUGUUAAUAUGUAAUUAAUUCACAUUAAGAUGUGAAUAUGUUUGUUUCUCUACUCAAAAUAAUGUAGUGUUGGUAUCAUUA